This 346-nucleotide ribosomal RNA is filed under the name uncultured bacterium. Its description in RNAcentral is "partial 16S ribosomal RNA". It matches the Rfam family "Bacterial small subunit ribosomal RNA", at positions 338 to 681 of the family's 1533-position model. The record is from RNAcentral.
CCUACGGGAGGCAGCAGUGAGGAAUAUUGGUCAAUGGGCGCGAGCCUGAACCAGCCAAGUAGCGUGAAGGAUGACGGCCCUACGGGUUGUAAACUUCGUUUAUAAAGGAAUAAAGUGAGGCACGUGUGCCUUGUUGUAUGUACUUUAUGAAUAAGGAUCGGCUAACUCCGUGCCAGCAGCCGCGGUAAUACGGAGGAUCCGAGCGUUAUCCGGAUUUAGUGGGGUUAAAGGGAGCGUAGAUGGGUUGUUAAGUCAGUGGUGAAAGUUUGCGGCUCAACCGUAAAAUUGCAAUUGAUACGGGCAGUCUUGCGUACAGUUGAGGUAGGCGGACUUCGUGGUGUAGCGG